This 473-nucleotide ribosomal RNA is filed under the name uncultured organism. Its description in RNAcentral is "partial 16S ribosomal RNA". It matches the Rfam family "Bacterial small subunit ribosomal RNA", at positions 335 to 799 of the family's 1533-position model. The record is from RNAcentral.
ACUCCUACGGGAGGCAGCAGUGGGGAAUUUUGGACAAUGGGCGAAAGCCUGAUCCAGCAAUGCCGCGUGAGUGAAGAAGGCCUUCGGGUUGUAAAGCUCUUUUGUCAGGGAAGAAACGGUGAGAGCUAAUAUCUUUUGCUAAUGACGGUACCUGAAGAAUAAGCACCGGCUAACUACGUGCCAGCAGCCGCGGUAAUACGUAGGGUGCAAGCGUUAAUCGGAAUUACUGGGCGUAAAGCGUGCGCAGGCGGUUUUGUAAGUCUGAUGUGAAAUCCCCGGGCUCAACCUGGGAAUUGCAUUGGAGACUGAAAGGCUAGAAUCUGGCAGAGGGGGGUAGAAUUCCACGUGUAGCAGUGAAAUGCGUAGAUAUGUGGAGGAACACCGAUGGCGAAGGCAGCCCCCUGGGUCAAGAUUGACGCUCAUGCACGAAAGCGUGGGGAGCAAACAGGAUUAGAAACCCCUGUAGUCCCAUG